UCAGCCUGCUUCAUCAUUGAUAUUGACAGUCAAUUUUAUGAGAUUUUCCAUGAUCAUCUUCUAACUUUCACAGCCCCGGUGGCCGAAUGGGUAAUGCGGCCACCUGGUAGCGCCUUGGCGUGGGGACCCAAGGCGCGUGGGUUUGAAACCCGCAGGGGACAACAUUACAUCCGGAGCCAACUUCUCAGCUCCUAAAAUAAUGGGAUGUGAACCUGCCAAGUAGGUACCUUCAGGCGGACCUACUACUUGAUUUAGCUGAUUUUUCCUGGGCUGGGAACCUGUAUUGCAUGUACCAAAUCCUGUCUUUCAUUAAUUGUCCUAUGUUCCUGUUAUAUUCUUGGCAUUGUUCAACACUAAGCAUUCCUUCUGUAUAACCAACUCUUGCCUGUAUUUAACAUCACACAAGAACUUGUCAUAAGCACUGCUUAUAUACGAGUAUAAUGGAAGAAUAAUAAUAAUAAUAAUAAUAAUAACAUCUUAA
RNAcentral lists this small RNA (481 nucleotides) under Histoplasma capsulatum var. duboisii H88. RNAcentral's name for it is "Histoplasma capsulatum H88 hypothetical RNA". The record is from RNAcentral. Lineage: Eukaryota; Fungi; Ascomycota; Eurotiomycetes; Onygenales; Ajellomycetaceae.